GAUGAAGAACGUGGCGAAAUGCGAUACUUGGUGUGAAUUGCAGAAUCCCGUGAACCAUCGAGUCUUUGAACGCAAGUUGCGCCCGAAGCCAUUAGGCCGAGGGCACGCCUGCCUGGGCGUCACACGUCGUUGCCCCCCCAUCUACUCCUUCGGGAUUGCGGGGGGCGGAUGAUGGCCUCCCGUGCGCCUCGCCGCGCGGUUGGCAUAAAUGCCAAGUCCUCGGCGACGCACGCCACGACAAUCGGUGGUUGCGAAACCUCGGUUGCCCGUCGUGUGCGGUCGUCGCGCAUCGAGGGCUCGAAAAAAUUGCCGGGUUCCGGCUCGGCUUUCAACGCGACCCCAGGUCAGGCGGGGUUACCCGCUGAAUUUAAGCAUAUCAAUAAGCGGAGGA
This 391-nucleotide unclassified non-coding RNA is filed under the name soil metagenome. RNAcentral's name for it is "partial contains 5.8S ribosomal RNA, internal transcribed spacer 2, and large subunit ribosomal RNA". The stretch from base 1 to 122 matches the Rfam family "5.8S ribosomal RNA", at positions 35 to 154 of the family's 154-position model. The record is from RNAcentral.